CACAGCAAAGUGGCCUCCCCGAGUGCGGAAAGAGAAAGCCGGUUAGGAGAUGCCGGGGCCCCACAGGAUCUAGAGGCGAGACCGCCGCAGCGCCAUCUGACCGCCGCGUGGCUGCGCAGAGAGCCUAGUUUGGGAAUAAGAAACUUUUUCGGAGUUGGAAGAAAGUAGUGACAGUCUUCAUCCGCAUUCAAGAGAAAUGCGCCGCGAGAGAGGCAUCUCCAAUGAGGUCAUUGUUAUCAUUUAUCAUCGCGGCCAAGGCCAGUUGGGUACUCGGGAGCCCGGCUGCGACUCUGCGCUCAGGUAAAAUGGUCCUUAACUGCAGGCUGCCUUCCUAGCUCACCCAUUCAUUGAUUUCAACAUCUUCAAUCACC
This 371-nucleotide long non-coding RNA is filed under the name Suricata suricatta (meerkat). Its description in RNAcentral is "lncRNA (ENSSSUG00005001443.1)". The record is from RNAcentral. Lineage: Eukaryota; Metazoa; Chordata; Mammalia; Carnivora; Herpestidae.